UACGUAGGGGGCAAGCGUUGUCCGGAAUCAUUGGGCGUAAAGCGCGUGUAGGCGGCUCGGUAAGUCCGCUGUGAAAGUCCAGGGCUCAACCCUGGAAUGCCGGUGGAUACUGUCGGGCUCGAGUCCGGAAGAGGCGAGUGGAAUUCCUGGUGUAGCGGUGAAAUGCGCAGAUAUCAGGAGGAACACCGAUGGCGAAGGCAGCUCGCUGGGACGUGACUGACGCUGAGACGCGAAAGCGUGGGGAGCAAACAGG
Molecule: ribosomal RNA, 253 nt
Filed under: uncultured bacterium
Lineage: Bacteria
Description: partial 16S ribosomal RNA
Rfam family: Bacterial small subunit ribosomal RNA
Source: RNAcentral